This 77-nucleotide transfer RNA is filed under the name Acidobacteriota bacterium. RNAcentral describes it as "Acidobacteria bacterium tRNA-Arg". It matches the Rfam family "tRNA". From Rfam's summary of the family: Transfer RNA (tRNA) molecules are approximately 80 nucleotides in length. Their secondary structure includes four short double-helical elements and three loops (D, anti-codon, and T loops). Further hydrogen bonds mediate the characteristic L-shaped molecular structure. tRNAs have two regions of fundamental functional importance: the anti-codon, which is responsible for specific mRNA codon recognition, and the 3' end, to which the tRNAs corresponding amino acid is attached (by aminoacyl-tRNA synthetases). tRNAs cope with the degeneracy of the genetic code in two manners: having more than one tRNA (with a specific anti-codon) for a particular amino acid; and 'wobble' base-pairing, i.e. permitting non-standard base-pairing at the 3rd anti-codon position. The record is from RNAcentral. Lineage: Bacteria; Pseudomonadati; Acidobacteriota.
GCGGAUGUAGCUCAGCUGGAUAGAGCAUCUGGCUACGAACCAGAAGGUCAGGGGUUCGAAUCCCUUCAUCCGUACCA